AGUAACGCGUGGAAACCUGCCGUAUACUGGGGGAUAACACUUAGAAAUAGGUGCUAAUACCGCAUAAGCGCACAGCUUCGCAUGAAGUGGUGUGAAAAACUCUGGUGGUAUACGAUGGUUCCGCGUCUGAUUAGCUUGUUGGUGGGGUAAUGGCUCACCAAGGCGACGAUCAGUAGCCGGCCUGAGAGGGUGAACGGCCACACUGGGACUGAGACACGGCCCAGACUCCUACGGAAGGCAGCAG
Molecule: ribosomal RNA, 244 nt
Filed under: uncultured bacterium
Lineage: Bacteria
Description: partial 16S ribosomal RNA
Rfam family: Bacterial small subunit ribosomal RNA
Source: RNAcentral